AGCGAACGCUGGCGGCAGGCUUAACACAUGCAAGUCGAGCGGGCACCUUCGGGUGUCAGCGGCAGACGGGUGCGUAACACGUGGGAACGUACCCUUCGGUUCGGAAUAACGCUGGGAAACUAGCGCUAAUACCGGAUACGCCCUUAUGGGGAAAGGUUUACUGCCGAAGGAUCGGCCCGCGUCUGAUUAGCUAGUUGGUGGGGUAACGGCCUACCAAGGCGACGAUCAGUAGCUGGUCCGAGAGGAUGAUCAGCCACACUGGGACUGAGACACGGCCCAGACUCCUACGGGAGGCAGCAGUGGGGAAUAUUGGACAAUGGGCGCAAGCCUGAUCCAGCCAUGCCGCGUGAGUGAUGAAGGCCUUAGGGUUGUAAAGCUCUUUUGUCCGGGACGAUAAUGACGGUACCGGAAGAAUAAGCCCCGGCUAACUUCGUG
RNAcentral lists this ribosomal RNA (435 nucleotides) under uncultured bacterium. Its description in RNAcentral is "partial 16S ribosomal RNA". It matches the Rfam family "Bacterial small subunit ribosomal RNA", at positions 29 to 507 of the family's 1533-position model. The record is from RNAcentral.